AGAGAUAAAGCGGAGGUAUUCGGGGAGACAGGUGGUGCAUGGUUGUCGUCAGCUCGUGUCGUGAGAUGUGGGUUAAGUCCCGCAACGAGCGCAACCCCUAUUGCUAGUUACCAUCAUUAAGUUGGGGACUCUAGCGAGACUGCCAGUGAUAAACUGGAGGAAGGUGGGGAUGACGUCAAAUCAUCAUGCCCCUUAUGACCUGGGCUACAAACGUGAUACAAUGGCUGGAACAAAGGGAUGCGAAGCAGUGAUGUGGAGCGAAACCCAUAAAAACAGUCUCAGUUCGGAUUGAAGUCUGCAACUCGACUUCAUGAAGUCGGAAUCGCUAGUAAUCGCGGAUCAGAACGCCGCGGUGAAUACGUUCUCGGGGUUU
Molecule: ribosomal RNA, 373 nt
Filed under: uncultured Acholeplasma sp.
Lineage: Bacteria; Bacillati; Mycoplasmatota; Mollicutes; Acholeplasmatales; Acholeplasmataceae
Description: bacterial SSU rRNA
Rfam family: Bacterial small subunit ribosomal RNA
Source: RNAcentral